Molecule: ribosomal RNA, 472 nt
Filed under: uncultured bacterium
Lineage: Bacteria
Description: bacterial SSU rRNA
Rfam family: Bacterial small subunit ribosomal RNA
Source: RNAcentral
AGAGUUUGAUCCUGGCUCAGGAUGAACGCUGGCGGCGUGCCUAACACAUGCAAGUCGAGCGAUCUUCUUCGGAAGAGAGCGGCGGACGGGUGAGUAACGCGUGGGUAACCUGCCCUGUACACACGGAUAACAUACCGAAAGGUAUGCUAAUACGAGAUAAUAUACUUUUAUCGCAUGGUAGAAGUAUCAAAGCUUUUGCGGUACAGGAUGGACCCGCGUCUGAUUAGCUAGUUGGUAAGGUAACGGCUUACCAAGGCGACGAUCAGUAGCCGACCUGAGAGGGUGAUCGGCCACAUUGGAACUGAGACACGGUCCAAACUCCUACGGGAGGCAGCAGUGGGGAAUAUUGCACAAUGGGCGAAAGCCUGAUGCAGCAACGCCGCGUGAGCGAUGAAGGCCUUCGGGUCGUAAAGCUCUGUCCUCAAGGAAGAUAAUGACGGUACUUGAGGAGGAAGCCCCGGCUAACUACGUG